UGGAGAAUAUGAUGAUCCUUUCCCCAGAUGAUCGACAAUGAACAUACUGAGCGCUAUUAUUUCUCUUUUGAGAACCAAGCCAGUAUUCUGAUUCUCCA
This 98-nucleotide small nucleolar RNA is filed under the name Oryza sativa (Asian cultivated rice). RNAcentral's name for it is "Z103g small nucleolar RNA". It matches the Rfam family "Small nucleolar RNA Z103". Rfam says of the family: This family consists of several snoRNA Z103 sequences which are members of the C/D class of snoRNA which contain the C (UGAUGA) and D (CUGA) box motifs. This family seems to be found exclusively in plants. C/D box small nucleolar RNAs are known to act as a methylation guides for 18S ribosomal RNA. Lineage: Eukaryota; Viridiplantae; Streptophyta; Magnoliopsida; Poales; Poaceae. The record is from RNAcentral.